Molecule: small RNA, 181 nt
Filed under: Arabidopsis thaliana (thale cress)
Lineage: Eukaryota; Viridiplantae; Streptophyta; Magnoliopsida; Brassicales; Brassicaceae
Description: ATSL209190
Source: RNAcentral
UUGUAAAACAUCCUACUCUUAUUUGGGAUAAGGUAAAAAUCGGAAAUAUUAUGCGAGAAUGUAUAAUCCUUCACAAUAUGAUAGUAGAAGACGAACGAGAUGGGUACACUCAGUAUGAUGUAUCCGAUUUCGCACAUCCGGAAUCAGCUAGUUCUUCACAAGUGGAUUUCACCUAUUCUAU